This 78-nucleotide ribosomal RNA is filed under the name Terminalia mollis. RNAcentral's name for it is "partial 26S ribosomal RNA". It matches the Rfam family "Eukaryotic large subunit ribosomal RNA", at positions 22 to 99 of the family's 3401-position model. The record is from RNAcentral. Lineage: Eukaryota; Viridiplantae; Streptophyta; Magnoliopsida; Myrtales; Combretaceae.
UACCCGCUGAGUUUAAGCAUAUCAAUAAGCGGAGGAAAAGAAACUAACAAGGAUUCCCCUAGUAACGGCGAGCGAACG